GGCUCAGAUUGAACGCUGGCGGCAUGCUUUACACAUGCAAGUCGAACGGUAACAGGGAGCUUGCUCCGCUGACGAGUGGCGAACGGGUGAGUAAUGCGUCGGAACGUGCCCAGUCGUGGGGGAUAACGUAGCGAAAGUUACGCUAAUACCGCAUACGAUCUAUGGAUGAAAGCGGGGGACUCGCAAGAGCCUCGCGCGAUUGGAGCGGCCGAUAUCAGAUUAGGUAGUUGGUGGGGUAAAGGCUCACCAAGCCAACGAUCUGUAGCUGGUCUGAGAGGACGACCAGCCACACUGGAACUGGGACACGGUCCAGACUCCUACGGGAGGCAGCAGUGGGGAAUUUUGGACAAUGGACGCAAGUCUGAUCCAGCCAUUCCGCGUGCAGGAUGAAGGCCCUCGGGUUGUAAACUGCUUUUGUACGGAACGAAAAGGUUUCUCUUAAUACGAGGAGCUCAUGACGGUACCGUAAGAAUAAGCACCGGCUAACUACGUG
This 493-nucleotide ribosomal RNA is filed under the name uncultured bacterium. RNAcentral's name for it is "bacterial SSU rRNA". It matches the Rfam family "Bacterial small subunit ribosomal RNA", at positions 21 to 507 of the family's 1533-position model. The record is from RNAcentral.